Caenorhabditis elegans is the source of this 150-nucleotide non-coding RNA. The record is from Ensembl. Lineage: Eukaryota; Metazoa; Nematoda; Chromadorea; Rhabditida; Rhabditidae.
AAAGAAAGGAGAAAAGGAAUGAACUCCCAAGGGAAGAUCAGAAAGAGGAAAACGAAAUAGAGAGGUUAUGAGAGGAGUGAAUUGCAGUUUGAUUGCACCACAGAUUUCAUCUGAUUUUCCGGAACUUUGGACUUCUUUUUUUGCCACAUU